AGUGAACGCUGGCGGCAUGCCUUACACAUGCAAGUCGAACGGCAGCACCAUAUCAGCGUGUGCCGACUGGUGACCAGUUGCGUACUGCAGCGGAACACAUCUGGAUCUGGUGGUUAACUAGUCGUAAGGGUAGCUAAUAUCCCCUAAGACCUCAUGCUAAAUGCAGGGGAAAUCCGGGCCUCUUGCGACCAUACGCGCUUGUGGCAGCCGAUGUCGGAUUAGCUAGUUGGGGGGGUAAAGGCCCACCAAGGCGACGAUCCGUAGCUGGUCUGAGAGGACGAUCAGCCACACUGGGACUGAGACACGGUCCAGACUCCUACGGGAGGCAGCAGUGGGGAAUAUUGGACAAUGGGCGCAAGCCUGAUCCAGCAAUACCGCGUGGGUGAUGAAGGCCUUCGGGUUGUAAAGCGCUUUUGUUCGGAAAGAAAAGCAGCCUGCUAAUACCGGGGUGUCCUGACGGUACCGAAAGAAUAAGCACCGGCUAACUUCGUG
RNAcentral lists this ribosomal RNA (492 nucleotides) under uncultured bacterium. Its description in RNAcentral is "partial 16S ribosomal RNA". It matches the Rfam family "Bacterial small subunit ribosomal RNA", at positions 29 to 507 of the family's 1533-position model. The record is from RNAcentral.